CCUACGGGGGGCAGCAGUGAGGAAUAUUGGUCAAUGGGCGCAAGCCUGAACCAGCCACGUCGCGUGAGGGAUGACGGUCCUAUGGAUUGUAAACCUCUUUUGUCGGGGAGCAAGGCCCGCCACGUGUGGCGGGAAGGAGAGUACCCGAAGAAAAAGCAUCGGCUAACUCCGUGCCAGCAGCCGCGGGAGUACGGAGGAUGCGAGCGUUAUCCGGAUUUAUUGGGUUAAAAGGGUGCGUAGGCGGAAGGUUAAGUCAGCGGUAAAAUGUCGGUGCUCAACACCGGCCUGCCGUUGAAACUGGUCUUCUUGAGUGAGCGAGAAGUAUGCGGAAUGCGUGGUGUAGCGGUGAAAUGCAUAGAUAUCACGCAGAACUCCGAUUGCGAAGGCAGCAUACCGGCGCUCAACUGACGCUGAGGCACGAAAGCGUGGGGAUCGAACAGGAUUAGAUACCCGGGUAGUC
Molecule: ribosomal RNA, 460 nt
Filed under: uncultured bacterium
Lineage: Bacteria
Description: partial 16S ribosomal RNA
Rfam family: Bacterial small subunit ribosomal RNA
Source: RNAcentral